GAAAUUAAAUCAACAAAGUAUCAUACAGAUUGUAAAGUAGAACAAAUCAAAGAUUUAGAAAAAAUUAACUAGAAGAAAAAAAAUAAACUAAUCAACUAUUCCAAUGAAGUAAAAACAAUUAACAAGGAAUAACAAUUAACUUAAUCAAAGAAAAAUUCUCAAGUUUAUUUAAGCUUCAACAGCGGCCUCAGGGGAGGCUUCGAUGAAUUAAAAUUCAUCGUUUCCGGUAGUGACAACCGUACAAGGGAGAGGGAAAAAGGAGGGAAAGGAUCAUGGAUUACAAAAAUCUCGAAGUGCCCCUGAGGCCAAAAUUACAUAUUCAGAUAAAUAGGAAAGAGAAAAAAAAUUGGGUAUUCAAUAAAGAAGUUUUCCAUAAUGGAACAAUUUUUAAAUUACGAACUAAACGUUCAAUUUUUAAAUUAUGAACUAAACGUUCAAUGUUAUAAAUCAUAAGAUAAGAACCAUGCGGUCCUACCUAUUUUGUUUGUUUUGUUGUUGUUUUUUUUUUGAUACUUACUUGGUGUCAAGUUGUUCUACCAACACUUGUAUACGAACUUUUUCACAAAUAAGUUGAUUCAAAUUCCAAUAUUAAUCAAUUAAUUAAAAAAGAAAACAUGUUAAUAAACAAUCAAGUCAACGCAACAAGAGAAAAAACUGAAAUUCUAUUGCAACGCCAUCUAGUGGGUUAACUUUAAUUGAGAGAAACUGAUUAGAAUUUUUUUUAAAUUCGUUUCCAAUUGUUGAUUAAUUUUCACUUGAAAUCAGUUUAAUUAAAUUAUUUUCUUUUAUUUUUACUUUUGAUUUUGAUUCAAGAUGGAAUCAGUUAAUUCUCCAUAUUUUUAAAUCUUAUUAAAUUCGUCAAAUGUUAAUAUGAUUCUUGUUACUAUCAUUAGACUGGUUAACUGUAUUAUUGGUCAAGUUAUUCAAAUUACAAACCAGUAAUUUUCGUGCCUAAUGUCAUGUCCAUUUGUAAAUUUAGUUUCUUUGUCUUCUGUCCUUGGAUUUACUAUUAAAUACUACAGUUGAUACCAACAAUUUACUAACUUAAGGUGAUUUGUUUAGAACUGUUCAUCUAUCGAAUUCGAUUUCAGUCUUCUUCCACUUGUUAUUCAGAUUUUACGUUGCGUUAAUGGUAAUACGAUUCUCUCGUCAAUAUUUUUCCAUCUCAACAUUGGACUAAUUUAUUUUCCAUCUCAACAACAAAUAAUUUCUUUUCCAUGUUGAUUCUGUCAUGUUUGUGAAUACACUUUUGGUUAAACAGUAAACGUUUUCUUGGGCAACUAUUGAUUAUAAUUGUUACCUUGCAAUCAAUCAUGGAAAGAAAAGAGAAUUCAAAGAAAAGGAAAAAAAAGGUUGUCACGAAGGGAAGAAAGUGGUCACCAAUCCUUCUUGAUCCUUUGUUUUUGUUACCACCUCAACCCAACAUCUAACAAUAGUAUUAAAUUUCAAUGGUAGUCAUAAAAAGGAAGUUGGAAAUAAGAAGGAUAAAGGAGGAUAUUGGUGGAAAAAAGUAAAAUGGAGAAGAAAAAACAAAAGGUAAAUUUCAAGUGAUGCUGAAAUUUGAAGAUGAAGUCAAGCGAUUUCUACCUGGUACUUGGGAGUCAUUGAUUCUUCUGUUAUAUGUGAACAUUUAUAUAAAUGGAAAAGUGAACAAAAAGAAGACGAAUAUAUAAAAAAAAGAGAGGAGUAAAACGGAAAACAUGGAAUAAGAAGAAGAAAAUCAAGAUCAAGAGGAGCAGAAGAAAACAAGAAGAAGGAGGAUAAACACUGAGAAAAUCGUAGUUCUAGAUAAUAUCUAGAGUAAAGGUGAAGAAAAAAUUCAAGAGACUGUUUUACUUUUUCUCUUUCUCUGUUCAAUUAAUUGGUUUUUGAGUCGAAAACAACUUGAGAAAUGGAACAACAACAAUAACGAUAAAUAGUAUCAACAGAGAGAAUCUAAAGAGAGAGAAAAAGAAACCCAACGAAAGAAGAAAAUCAAACUAAUUCAUUAGAAAAUCAAGAAGACAAAUUAUGAUGGCACAGCGAGGAAGAAAAUCGUGAAGUAAAAAAAAGAAAAAUGGCUCUAAGAAAUGUAUAGAUUCAUCUUCCCACCUUUACUCCAACUUAACUGCUUUUAGUUUUAAAGGUUCUCCUCAUACCCUGGGAGUGAGAAAGGUAAAGGACUGACAGGUAAAAUGAAGCGAUUGACUGUGAAUGUUGGUUCAAGCUUGAAACUCGUAUGCAUGAUACCAGAGGAGGAAAAAGGAAAGAGUAAGUUACAGUUUUUAGUGCAUACAUUAUAUGGCAUCUUGGGAAUUUUUAUUCAAGAAAGUUCACAGAGAAUAAUUUGAUAGAAGAGAGUAAACCAGAGUGAGAAGGCAGAAAGGAUAUAAGACAAAAAGAAUAAAAAUCAAAACUAAUCAAAAAGAUUUUCUC
Molecule: long non-coding RNA, 2415 nt
Organism: Panonychus citri (citrus red mite)
Lineage: Eukaryota; Metazoa; Arthropoda; Arachnida; Trombidiformes; Tetranychidae
Exons: 5
Source: RefSeq, a predicted model, not a curated record